Triticum aestivum (bread wheat) is the source of this 1230-nucleotide RNA transcript. RefSeq lists it as uncharacterized. The record is from RefSeq and is a predicted model, not a curated record. NCBI's taxonomy places the organism in Eukaryota, Viridiplantae, Streptophyta, Magnoliopsida, Poales, Poaceae. The transcript has 2 exons.
GAGGGCAUUUUUGUCAUUUCGCAUCCGGGCGUAUAAAAGCCAACCGCUCCUGUGGAGAGGACCUGGCCGCCGCUCUCCUCUUCCUGCCGCCUCGGCUCACUCCUCCCAUCUCAGCUCUCUCCUCCCUCCAAACCCUAGCCCCGCACGCCGCCGGUCGCGCGGCUCCGCCUCCUACUCUCCUCCUCCCCUUGAAGCCCGAGCGCGUCUGACCGCGGGGUGGCCGGCGGCAACGGGCGAGCGGGGGCGGCUGGGCGCGCCGAGCGGGGGCCGGUGUGGCAGGCGAACAGCGGCAGCCGGAGGCGAGGCCAAGGGCGGGCGAGCAGCAAGCGCACGGGGCUGGCGAGGCGGCGCGGGCGCGGGCGGCUGGCGCGUCUGCGGGCGGCAGCGGCAACAGCGCGCAGCAGCAGGCAGCGGCGACCGCGAGCGCGCGGGGCUGGCGAGGAUGCGGCAGCGUGGCAGGGCGGCGAGCAACGGGAAGUAGCAGGAGCUCGCCGCGCGUGUGGAGCUGCGUGGACCAGCGGGUCGACGCUCCGUGCUCUCCCUACGCCGCAGCAGCCUCUUCGCGUCUCCCCGCCCCUGUCGCCGCCGGUGACCCCUGUGCCCCUUCUUCUCCGUGCUCGGCCACCCCGCGCCACUGCUGCACCUGUCGCUUCUCCCUCCGCCUCUAGACUGGGCAUGUGGAGCGCGGCGCUGUCGCCAUUGUCCUCGACGUACGGGGAGCGCUGGCUGCAGAGAAGGCCAUCCACGGUGCCGUCGCCCCACAACAGAGAAGGUCGAGAAGGAUUCUGGGUGGUUUGGCCUAUCCCUUAUGCUUUUCCUUUUUCCCUUUUCAAUUUACGCUUUGCUGCUCUUCGAUUUGAUCCAUUACAGUGUUGUAGCUGCAAGUGUUGGACUGGUCGUUCCUCUAACCGGAGGCCUUGCGAUGGUUCUGUUGGGUUCAGGUAAAACCCGGCAAUGAACUUUAGAGUUAGUAUCCUCAAGUUACUUUUUAACUGCAUUACUAGACAGCGGUUGGCUUUCAGUUACCAGGUUAGUAUCAUAUCUGAAAGAAUGGCAAUUGUGACAGUAACUUUAUGCUGCUUGAUACUGUGCUGUACUACACAUAUAUAUCAUUACCAAUCUAUUUUUUGUUUACCUUUUCCUGACUUUAGAAAGGUGAUGUUUCAUUAUGCUUGGUACAAACAACUGGCAGCUAUGGUGCCUUCCUAAUCCAAGCAUAUGUUAUUUUUC